RNAcentral lists this ribosomal RNA (253 nucleotides) under uncultured bacterium. RNAcentral's name for it is "partial 16S ribosomal RNA". It matches the Rfam family "Bacterial small subunit ribosomal RNA", at positions 524 to 776 of the family's 1533-position model. The record is from RNAcentral.
UACAGAGGUCUCAAGCGUUGUUCGGAUUCAUUGGGCGUAAAGGGUGCGUAGGCGGCGCGGUAAGUCGGGUGUGAAAGUCGGGGGCUCAACCCUCGAAAGCCGGUGGAUACUGUCGGGCUCGAGUGCGGAAGAGGCGAGUGGAAUUCCUGGUGUAGCGGUGAAAUGCGCAGAUAUCAGGAGGAACACCGAUUGCGAAGGCAGCUCGCUGGGACGUUACUGACGCUGAGGAGCGAAAGCGUGGGGAGCGAACAGG